GGGAGAUUCAGCUAGAACGAGAGGAUUCGUUUUCUGUCCUCCGGAACUUACAUUCACGUGGGGCGAUAGACCAUGAACAAACAAGUAGAGAAGCAAGGGAAUUUCGGAAAGUUCGAAUCGUCAUGGAGGGGGGCAAAACGGUCAAUGGAAGCAAGCGUAUUCAGUACGCAUGGCUGGUCUCCUUCCCUGACCCAGGCAAGCACCAGACCUGUAGCUCCUAGAUGAAGACGACUGAUGCUUCCUGGAAGCAGAACACACACGUGUACUUGGCCUUGCUUUCCUCAUCUCGAACACGGAGGUGGCCGUACCCACGUUGUAUUAUUAUCGUGAUAAUUCACUGAGAUCGUGCUUGUAAAACACUUCCCACCCUGACUGUAGCUGGUUCUAGGGCCGCUCCACCAAUAUUAUUACCGUACACACAACUUCACGUCCCACAGCAUCUUGCAAAAAGCUCCAAGUCAUUGUAAAUUGAGGGUCUUAAUGUUCUCCAGAGGUGUUUAAUUUCUCUUGGCCCAUGAGCCUUAAUGUGAUGUUAUUUAAACAGUAGUAGUAAGCAGAAUUUUUUUUUUGCUAAAGGAAUAGAAUGGGAUAGAUCUGCAUAGAAAAUACCAAGCGAAUUGCAUUCAAUAAGAGAGAGUGUGUGUGUGUGUGUGUGUGUGUGUGUGUGUGUGUGUGCGCGCGUGCACACACACAGGCACCAGGUCAGGCUGGGUUUCUUGCAGAUCAUUGGGGAAAUGUCAACAAACACUUUAACUAAGGGUACUCUAUGGAAUACAAAGGGUUAAUCUUCAAACCAUUUACCCCUUCACCAGAAUCUGGCCCAUUAUCUCCUAAAUCACAGCCACACCCCCCAGCACCUUGAGAGAUAAACAGGAGGCAGGUACUUAUUAAUUUUAUUUUUCCCUUUUCUGAGGGCAGUGGUUCUCAACUACACUCAGCUGCACAUUAGAUUCUCCGAGGGAGCUUUGAAAAAUCCCCAUGCUGAGGCCCCACCCCAGACCAA
Long non-coding RNA from Felis catus (domestic cat), 1003 nucleotides. RefSeq lists it as uncharacterized. The record is from RefSeq and is a predicted model, not a curated record. NCBI's taxonomy places the organism in Eukaryota, Metazoa, Chordata, Mammalia, Carnivora, Felidae. The transcript is spliced from 2 exons.